This 2505-nucleotide ribosomal RNA is filed under the name Escherichia albertii. RNAcentral's name for it is "partial 23S ribosomal RNA". It matches the Rfam family "Bacterial large subunit ribosomal RNA", at positions 431 to 2915 of the family's 2925-position model. Lineage: Bacteria; Pseudomonadati; Pseudomonadota; Gammaproteobacteria; Enterobacterales; Enterobacteriaceae. The record is from RNAcentral.
AUCCUGUCUGAAUAUGGGGGGACCAUCCUCCAAGGCUAAAUACUCCUGACUGACCGAUAGUGAACCAGUACCGUGAGGGAAAGGCGAAAAGAACCCCGGCGAGGGGAGUGAAAAAGAACCUGAAACCGUGUACGUACAAGCAGUGGGAGCCCUGAUUUAUCAGGGUGACUGCGUACCUUUUGUAUAAUGGGUCAGCGACUUAUAUUCUGUAGCAAGGUUAACCGAAUAGGGGAGCCGGAGGGAAACCGAGUCUUAACUGGGCGUUAAGUUGCAGGGUAUAGACCCGAAACCCGGUGAUCUAGCCAUGGGCAGGUUGAAGGUUGGGUAACACUAACUGGAGGACCGAACCGACUAAUGUUGAAAAAUUAGCGGAUGACUUGUGGCUGGGGGUGAAAGGCCAAUCAAACCGGGAGAUAGCUGGUUCUCCCCGAAAGCUAUUUAGGUAGCGCCUCGUGAAUUCAUCUCCGGGGGUAGAGCACUGUUUCGGCAAGGGGGUCAUCCCGACUUACCAACCCGAUGCAAACUGCGAAUACCGGAGAAUGUUAUCACGGGAGACACACGGCGGGUGCUAACGUCCGUCGUGAAGAGGGAAACAACCCAGACCGCCAGCUAAGGUCCCAAAGUCAUGGUUAAGUGGGAAACGAUGUGGGAAGGCCCAGACAGCCAGGAUGUUGGCUUAGAAGCAGCCAUCAUUUAAAGAAAGCGUAAUAGCUCACUGGUCGAGUCGGCCUGCGCGGAAGAUGUAACGGGGCUAAACCAUGCACCGAAGCUGCGGCAGCGACACUGUGUGUUGUUGGGUAGGGGAGCGUUCUGUAAGCCUGUGAAGGUGUGCUGUGAGGCAUGCUGGAGGUAUCAGAAGUGCGAAUGCUGACAUAAGUAACGAUAAAGCGGGUGAAAAGCCCGCUCGCCGGAAGACCAAGGGUUCCUGUCCAACGUUAAUCGGGGCAGGGUGAGUCGACCCCUAAGGCGAGGCCGAAAGGCGUAGUCGAUGGGAAACAGGUUAAUAUUCCUGUACUUGGUGUUACUGCGAAGGGGGGACGGAGAAGGCUAUGUUGGCCGGGCGACGGUUGUCCCGGUUUAAGCGUGUAGGCUGGUUUUCCAGGCAAAUCCGGAGAAUCAAGGCUGAGGCGUGAUGACGAGGCACUACGGUGCUGAAGCAACAAAUGCCCUGCUUCCAGGAAAAGCCUCUAAGCAUCAGGUAACAUCAAAUCGUACCCCAAACCGACACAGGUGGUCAGGUAGAGAAUACCAAGGCGCUUGAGAGAACUCGGGUGAAGGAACUAGGCAAAAUGGUGCCGUAACUUCGGGAGAAGGCACGCUGAUAUGUAGGUGAAGCGACUUGCUCGUGGAGCUGAAAUCAGUCGAAGAUACCAGCUGGCUGCAACUGUUUAUUAAAAACACAGCACUGUGCAAACACGAAAGUGGACGUAUACGGUGUGACGCCUGCCCGGUGCCGGAAGGUUAAUUGAUGGGGUCAGCGCAAGCGAAGCUCUUGAUCGAAGCCCCGGUAAACGGCGGCCGUAACUAUAACGGUCCUAAGGUAGCGAAAUUCCUUGUCGGGUAAGUUCCGACCUGCACGAAUGGCGUAAUGAUGGCCAGGCUGUCUCCACCCGAGACUCAGUGAAAUUGAACUCGCUGUGAAGAUGCAGUGUACCCGCGGCAAGACGGAAAGACCCCGUGAACCUUUACUAUAGCUUGACACUGAACACUGGUCCUUGAUGUGUAGGAUAGGUGGGAGGCUUUGAAGUGUGGACGCCAGUCUGCAUGGAGCCGUCCUUGAAAUACCACCCUUUAAUGGCUGGUGUUCUAACGUGGGCCCGUAAUCCGGGUUGCGGACAGUGUCUGGUGGGUAGUUUGACUGGGGCGGUCUCCUCCUAAAGAGUAACGGAGGAGCACGAAGGUUGGCUAAUCCUGGUCGGACAUCAGGAGGUUAGUGCAAUGGCAUAAGCCAGCUUGACUGCGAGCGUGACGGCGCGAGCAGGUGCGAAAGCAGGUCAUAGUGAUCCGGUGGUUCUGAAUGGAAGGGCCAUCGCUCAACGGAUAAAAGGUACUCCGGGGAUAACAGGCUGAUACCGCCCAAGAGUUCAUAUCGACGGCGGUGUUUGGCACCUCGAUGUCGGCUCAUCACAUCCUGGGGCUGAAGUAGGUCCCAAGGGUAUGGCUGUUCGCCAUUUAAAGUGGUACGCGAGCUGGGUUUAGAACGUCGUGAGACAGUUCGGUCCCUAUCUGCCGUGGGCGCUGGAGAACUGAGGGGGGCUGCUCCUAGUACGAGAGGACCGGAGUGGACGCAUCACUGGUGUUCGGGUUGUCAUGCCAAUGGCACUGCCCGGUAGCUAAAUGCGGAAGAGAUAAGUGCUGAAAGCAUCUAAGCACGAAACUUGCCCCGAGAUGAGUUCUCCCUGAGACUUUAAGUCUCCUGAAGGAACGUUGAAGACGACGACGUUGAUAGGCCGGGUGUGUAAGCGCAGCGAUGCGUUGAGCUAACCGGUACUAAUGAACCGUGAG